AUAAGUAAGUGCGAAUCGGUAAUCUCCCCUCUGUUCUCUUAGUAGUCGACCUCUUACCACUGUGACAACUGGUCGGCACCCAAUGACGAUGCUGGCGUUAAAUAGGGUUUCAAUAGCUUGUUGGCUCGAACAUUGAGUUCUCUCCCUGCCCUCUCUCUCGUGCGUGCACUCUCUCUGACGGCAUCCAACAACGACAUUGGAGUCAAUAGCUUUCCAUCGGACAGCACCAACCGGCGAUGUCAACGCUAGCAGUUGAUUCUGUCUCUUCACCGCAGCAUUGGACCAACAUCUCAAAGGAUACCAGAUAUAUAGAUAUACAAUGCACGAGCUGUGAGCAAGAUAGAUAUACAAUGCCCUACCUGCCAUGGGUAGUGCUUUAAUGGAGGCAAUUCAUGAUGAGGCAGUGAGCAGAGAAGAAAUUUUUGUUACUUCUAAGCUAUGGGGAUCUGAUCACCAUGACCCCAUUUCCGGACUCAAGCAAACUCUCAAGUAAGGAACAAUAUAUAUGUCUUUUUUUUUCAGUGUUCACAUGCAUUAAGUCAAUUAUACUAGUCCUUAAUUUGACCCAAUACAUAAUUAAUUGCACCAAUCCAAAUAUAUACCAGCUAGCUCUUGCACAGAGAGAAGUGAAGAGGGAGGAAGGUUGUGUGGUCCUUCAAUUUUUUGUGUUUUGUUAGGGAUGGAAUGUGUGGACCUGUACCUGAUACACUGAUCAGCCAAACUAAAGGUGUGGGCAGAUUAUGCUGUACCUAAUGAAGAUGACUUUGAAGAGUUGGACAUGGAGUCUACUUGGGUAGGGAUGGAGAGGUGUUUGGAUAUGGGGCUUUGCAGGUUCAUUGGGGGACAUCUACACACCUACAGGUUCUAUGACGUGUGGACCUUCGUCCUACAGGAUGCAACUUUCAAGAAUGAGGAAUGCCAGGAGAAUGCUGGUAGGGUGAAAAUAGUGGCAUGUGACUCAAAGUUGCUCUCACAAUAAGACUAUCCCUUCUAAAGGAAAUUUGAGACCCAUUCAGAGAAGUGAUUUGGGGGUAGCCCAACUUGCAGAGACCCUUGCAGGAAAUUUGAGA
This is a non-coding RNA of Nelumbo nucifera (sacred lotus), 1070 nucleotides long. NCBI's taxonomy places the organism in Eukaryota, Viridiplantae, Streptophyta, Magnoliopsida, Proteales, Nelumbonaceae. The record is from RefSeq and is a predicted model, not a curated record.